Molecule: long non-coding RNA, 2183 nt
Filed under: Sus scrofa (pig)
Lineage: Eukaryota; Metazoa; Chordata; Mammalia; Artiodactyla; Suidae
Description: lncRNA (ENSSSCG00025012461.1)
Source: RNAcentral
GCUUUUUGGCAUUUCUUGGGCCGCUCCUGCAGCAUAUGGAGGUUCCCAGGCUAGGGGUCUAAUCGGAGCUGUAGCCACCAGCCUACGCCGGAGCCACAGCAACGCAGGAUCUGAGCCCGUCUGCAACCUACACCACAGCUCACAGCAACGCCGGAUCGUUAACCCGCUGAGCAAGGGCAGGGAUCGAACCCUCAACCUCAUGGUUCCUAGUCGGAUUCGUUAACCACUGUGCCACGACGGGAACUCCAUUAAGUUGGCUUAAGAAAAUUAUAAUGGAGCCAGUUUCUAGCAGCAUAGUAGAAUACAAAUAAGCAGUGGCUUUGUCAUCAGAUUUGCAUUCAAAUUCCCCCAUCACUUUCUAUCUGUGUACUUUUGCAUAGAUUUCUCAGCUCUCACCUCUGUUUCUUAAUUUCUGCAACCCACUUAUUAGUUACCCAUGAACAACCUCUGUAUUUGCUCCAUGGUAAUCUUGAGUAAAAUUCAACACUACUACUCAUCUCCCACAAAAGAAAGACCACCCCACGGAGCAUAAAUGGAUAAUGUAAAUUUAGCUGAAGAUAGCUUGGGGAUGUGGAAAAAGGUUCUCCCCUUUUAGAUCUUCAGUUCUUCCAAGCAACACACCCUAGAUUCUAUAUCUUCAUUUCUUUACAAAGCAGUAUAUCCAGGAUCCCUCUGGGUUAAAUGCUCACAUCUAUUACUCACCCAGUUUCCUAAACACUUCGUAGUUUUCAAGUUCCAACCUUCUUAGGGAUGAGUAGAGAGGCAUCAAUAACAAAUCACGUGAUUAAUAAAUAAAAGCACAUGUGCACACAUUUUCAAGGGGGAAAGGAGAGCUUUUUAUUCCCUUCAUUGUAUCAUGUGAGGAUUCCCUUCAGAAGCUGUAAAAUCAUUCUGUUUUGGCUUUCCUCUUUGUUAUUUUUCUUAGAAGAUGUGAGUAAUAAAGUUACAUAUGUUUCAGAAGCAUCAUGCACUUGUUACUUUCAUUUUUUUUUAUUCCACAUCCGUCUGCUUGGUAGAAAAAUGCUACUUAGAAAACAACAGGAGGUAAAAAGUCAGAUGCAGCUUAGGGACACACAGAGGGAAGGCUUCUGUGUGGGCUGGAUCACAUAUGUGGAAUACGAAUGGUGAAUAAAAUCAUUCUUUCAUCUCAUGAUGAGAUAAACUCAGACCUCAGUUACCCCAUUGUCCCACAGAGGAAACAACUGUGAUCCAUCCUUAAGACUGCGCUGCAAGCUUCAAAAGACAACCAAAGACAGGAAAAUUCCACUAAUGGCUAUCUGUCUCCUCUGAGUGACAAUAAGAUAGUUCCAAAUCAAACGCAGCAUCAGGACUUAUUUCAUACAAACAAAAGGAUAGAUUACACUAAAAUUUUUUAAAGAAAAUUUUAUUUCAAAAUAGAUUUCCUGGCUGGGUUUUAGGAAGACUGUUCUCAAAAAAAAAAAAUGUGUUAUUUAUAGUCCUUUUUGGAAAACUAGUUAGGUUUUAUGCAUAGUAUGGAUAACCACAGAUGGCAGUAAAGUGUAUAAUGUAUGCAAAGAGGAAUGGUUCCAGGCUGAUAUUUUUUCCCUGGAAAACUUUCUAAUAUUUCCACAUUAAUAAUGGACCAUUAUCUAGAAAUCGAAGCUGCUAAGUCCAAACACCAUAGGAUUUGUAGUUUUGCUUUGAAUGUGUGCUUGCAAUUAUCCAGCUGCAAGUUAAAUGCAGUGUAGCCUAUGGCUUCCCAAGCUGAGUUUUUGCUUUUAUUUCUAGCCAAUUGACCUGUGCUCUAGUUUUUGACUGGAACAUUAGUCUACAAAAAUGUCCUGGAUGAAUGAGAUGACACUGCCACCAAACCCUAAGUUCCAACGCUCAGGCUGGAAGUCUAACCUCUAAUUUACUCUAGUCCCAGGCUGAUUAGACCCAUUAUUUAAUGAAGUCUCUCUUGGUUGUCCGUCUAUCAAAUUAUUUGUAUUCAUGGAGAGAAAGUGAUAAGCCAAAAUGCUAAUUAUCCAUUUUUCUAAAAUAAAGUGUCCAUGCUAAGAAUAACAAUGAGUUAUUAAAAGAGCACUUUUCAUCUAACAUAUUAUAUCUUAACAAGCUCUUUAAAUCCAGGGGUUUUCAUUGCUGGACAUCUUAUCUAAUAAAAAGGAAGAUGUUUACCUUCUAUCUAUUCUUUCAGCACUGGGCUACAGCUUUCGAAUUUG